This 30-nucleotide non-coding RNA is filed under the name Rattus norvegicus (Norway rat). The record is from RNAcentral. Lineage: Eukaryota; Metazoa; Chordata; Mammalia; Rodentia; Muridae.
UGACUAGGAUGUUGGGUGAUUUAAAACAGC